Molecule: ribosomal RNA, 200 nt
Filed under: uncultured bacterium
Lineage: Bacteria
Description: partial 16S ribosomal RNA
Rfam family: Bacterial small subunit ribosomal RNA
Source: RNAcentral
AACGUAGGACGCGAACGUUAUCCGGAAUUACUGGGCGUAAAGGGCGCGCAGGCGGUUCGGUAAGUUAGGCAUGAAAGCUCCCUGGCUAAACCGGGAGAGGAUGUCUGAUACUGUCGGACUAGAGUAAGGUAGAGGGGUGUAGAAUUCCGCGUGUAGUGGUGAAAUGCGUAGAUAUGCGGAGGAAUACCAGUGGCGAAGGC